Gallus gallus (chicken) is the source of this 6734-nucleotide long non-coding RNA. The record is from Ensembl. NCBI's taxonomy places the organism in Eukaryota, Metazoa, Chordata, Aves, Galliformes, Phasianidae.
AAAUGCGAUCCCGUUUGCUUUGAAAAUGAUACUUGAAAUUUUGGCAGAAAAGAUGUUGGCUCAUUUCUGAAGUUCUGUUGCACAUACAUGCAUUAUAUGUUAUAAAAAUAAUCCAUCUCCAUUAGUCAUAGAUCUGUUAGGGUUUGUAGAAUCAGAAUGGGAGGAGGGGUCCCUUUUAAACAUUAUAGGUAGGAUUUCUUGCACAGUACAGGUAUUGUAUAUCCCAUAGCUAUUCCCACAUCGAUAAUAAGAGACUUCAGUCCAACGUGACAAAAAUGGGAUACCUUUGUGGAAGGAGCAUAGGGAAAGCUUGCUUUGUUGCAGGUGGCAGCAAGCUGCCACCACAGGAGUGUGAAGACUCCAUGCAGGCGGAUUCUGAACGGCAAGGAAGAGCUGGCACAGGGCCAGGAGCCAUGGCAUAUCGAAAGGCUUGGGAUCCCAAUUUCUGGCUGUCGUGGUGCUGCAAGUGUGGUGGCAGCUGGGAGCCUCUGCUUUGGACACAGACAAGAUACUGUCAGCAAUAUGAUUGGCAGCAGCUCUCUCUUUUUAGACACAGCAUCCCCUCAUUCCUGCUGAGCUUAUAUCAGCAUGCCCACCAUCUAAUCUCAGAAAUAAAUGUACAAUCUGGCAUCCCACCCUUAAAAGGUAGCUGACCCGCUGCAGUGCUGACAGCAUGGAAGAAAACACUGAGAUCCAUUAAAUUAAUUCCGUAUUCAUUGUAUGUGACUAAAUAUUAUUUAUCCGAUCUGUGUAUCAAUUUACCAACUCAUACUAUGUUUAUAGCAUCUCAAACAGCUGUUCAAAUUUGAGUUGGUAUGUGUGAAGCACCUGAAUAUCUCAAAAAGCACUGCAAAUAGGUACUAUUCGUCCAAGUAGCAUCUCUUGCAGAUAAGCUGUUUCUAAAAGGCCAUUCUGAAAUAGUUACAUUCUACGAAGUUCUAUCGAAUUUAUAUUUAUGUAAAGCAAGCACAAUUUGUGUGAUAGUUCUUGACUGCUCUUCAGAAAGCUAGAUAUUUAAUUUCAAGCAUAGGUUGCUCUGAAAGUAAUGCCUCCUAUUUAUUUCCAUGGAAACUACAACAGAUGCAAAGAGUACAAUAACACGAGUUGAUAAAGCAAAUUCUCAGUUACAAAACGCCAUCUUUCUACACAGUCACCACCAUUAGCUGUGUAUUUUUGCCAGCAAUGAGCAAGAAGGUUCAGCCUCUACUGCCAUACCACCACCAUCUGCCUCUGACAUUGUGGGCCAACAUCAUAAAAUAGGAUGCAUUACUUUUGGAGCAUCCUUUGCACUUCUGUUUAUUAAAUAUGAAUUAUAUAAACACUGAGUGAUCAAUACAUCAUAGCUUUACUGAGACGUUGAUAUGUGAUCUAAGAGUGGAGAAUAAAACCAUUUUCCUAAUAAUGCCAGCAAAUACAGUAGGAAGGACAGCCCCAUUUGUAAGGACUACUUUUGUUAAUAUAAACUUUACCUCCGUUUAAAGAGUUUGCAUGUUGUCAGUUUAGCUGGAACAGCAAAAUCAUCUUACACCUGGUGCUACAGCCACUUCUGAAAUGGUGAAUAAGAAUAUCCCAUUAAGAUCAGUCUGUUAUCCUACACAUAGCAAGGAGCCCAAAGGGUCUUGGAGCACACUGUACAAACACAGAUAACCCCAUGCAAUUUUACACUGCAGAAAAUCUCCUCAAAAGUACAGAAGUACACAGAAGAUUGAGCAGGCUGUUGUGUACAGUUUGCUACGUCACCAUUCAGUGUUUCUACUGCUGCAAAAAAUGCAAAGUGAUCUCUAAUGACCAGGUUUCUUCUCUAACAGAUUGCUUCUUUAUAUCCUUUAGGAGACGGAAUGGUAGGGGGAUGUAACGGAAUGAACUGCAAACGUAGGUGGUUUGUUGAGCUUUUUUGUUAGUGUUUGUGUAGGGUUCUGAUCCCGGUCUAACUUAAAGAAAAAAAAGAGCAAGAACAUGACAAAGCAGAGCCCCAAAAGGCAUGAAUGUGGCUCUCUGUGGAAAAGCGUGAAAACAAUUGUACCCAUUACAUGCUGGGUUUGGAACUCCGUGCAGCCUAAGCCUAUUGAAAUAUAUAUUUGUAAGCGGGAGUGGUGGGGAGGGAGGAUGCAUCGGAAUGAGGCCUGGAGCUGAAAUGCUGUCGUAAAGGCAGUAGGAGGAGAGAAGGCUAUAAACUGGCUGCCAUCCUCACAUUGAAAAAGGUCCGGAAACAUCUUAAUGCCAAAUGUCACACCUUUCGUUCCUGUUUUUCCUUAGUUUUCCAUUUAAGCAAUUCAAACUUUCCCUAUUUGUGUUACCAGUCUAUGGAAGCUGGGUUAUCUAAAGGCUUUUUGAUUUUGCUCUAUCCUAUCCUGACAAACUCCUGCUCAUUCAACCUUUAUAUGUUAAACUUUUAAUAACCAAUACGACUGCAUCAGUACUAACAAAAAAAAAAAAAAAAAGAAGAAGAAGAAAAAAAAAAGAAUCCCACACAACAGAUUUCUCAGCAUCACCACGGCCUGGGAGAACUUGCUGCAGUGACAGGAGGCAAUUUAUAAGGAAUUAACUCUGACAGUCACUUUAUACAGCUGAUUUUCAAAGAUCUGGGCACUAAAGAAGUGUUAAUGAGGGUACUGAGGCUUCAUAAUUAAUUAUAUUAGCAUCUCUUUGUUGCUCUCUAGAACAGUAGUGCCUGGUUGACAUUUCAAUGGGAAUCUGGUAGUAUUCUUUGUUAUUAUUAUCCAGGAGUACAGUUAUACCUUAGCUCCCAGAGGGCAACGUUGCAUGUAAAUGCCUCUGUGAAUUGCAAGAGUCUUUGGAUCUCAGUAAAAGCCCUUGAAGGAGACCCUGCUGGAUACUGAAUGGAUGUCAGUAAAAUUUCUCUAGUCUGGAGUCUCUCUUCAGAUAUGGACUCUCCUCCCCUUUCAUUUCUCCCUUCCCCCUUCCUUUCCACUGUGCCAGUCCUUCUCACAAGGCUUAAGAACAGCACUUUCUGAAUCUUUAGUUCCAAACCUUUAAAGGAAGGAAUACUGACCUGAACGAAACAGUGAACAGAGAAUAGAACAGUCCUCAGAAAAUAGGGAAUAUUUUUCACACGCUUGAGUUUUCAUUGCAAUAAAACCAGCACUGCCAGAAGGAAUCCCAGAAGUGAUCCCAUCUUGAGCUGUGAACUCCUCAGGCUGGAGGAGAUGGAUAUCCACAUCUGGAAGUGGCAGUAGCACAUCUGGACAGGGUCAUGGAGACUCGGCAAUUCCUGGGGGCUGUCAAACUGAUUACACGCAGCAAACCAGCCGGUGUGCCUCUGCCUGCUGCUUAGAGUAAGCACUGAUAUGUCAGUCAGACUUUACUAUCAAGUACGAGCUUAUGUGCGCUUCAAGUGUUGUUCAGCCUUCAACUCCUUGGUGUAUUCAGUCAUUUAAAAACUUUCAUACACUCUAAAAAAAAAUGUUGUCUUGCACUGCACUGCCAGGGGGAUCUUUGUUUCAAAUACAGAGCGUCAGCCUGCAAAGCUUCUGUGGAAGACCAGGCUCCCAGUGUUAAAAUGAUCCUUGUUUUCUAUUUCUAUACAAUAAUUUCUGUGAGAUUCUUCUGGAUGGAGGGCUAUAAAAACGUUAAGCUGCUAUUCAUCACGCUGACUUGCAUGAUUUUAUGUGUGCCCAUUCUGUAUAGCAGGAAUACUUAGUGGGAAAUUUAUUCUUCGCUUUUUCACACACCAUUACAUUGUAUUUGUGAGGAUUUAGCACGUUUUCUGGCUUCGCUCACCAAAUCAAGGGUCCACGUUUAAUAGGUACAGCUGAUGUUACAAAAACUAGGCACAAUUACCAAUUAUGUCUCUGUCUUGUAGUAAUAUAUCUAUCUAAAGAAAGAAACAUUGGGAGAUCUGAACUUCUGCAUCAAAGAGGAGACUGUCUUUAUGAAUAGGCCCUGUUUAUUCCAUUCUUGAGAACAACAAGCAACUACCACUAUACUCUAUGUAAACUGUAAGGCCAUUAAUCACUAUCAGGAGCUGCCAACACCCCCCAGACGUUUACAUAUACACAGAGGAAAACGAACACGAGUUUUCUUCACUUAUCUGAGCGUCACUGCCACCCCGAAGGAUGUGAAGAUCUAACUCCUUUAUUUGACAGCACGGGAGGACUCGGGCACUCAGCUGGAAAGGUACCACAGACAGUCCAGUUUUGUACCUUCAACCAUACAACUUGAAGUUCAGAGAAGAGCAGGAAUACAAACUGUAAUACCAAUGGAAAAAAGCUACUUGUGAUGCAGGCAGCAGAGCUACUUGGAUGGUGUCGUUCAGGAAAAAGAGUGAGCUGUCUAUUAUAUCUGAUAUAAUAUAUACAUAUACAGGAGAAGGGGAGAGGAGGAGGACACCAUAUUCUCCAAACGCAUUAACAUAUCUCUUAUUUCACAGGAUUGUAACUGUACAUUUUAACCCCUCAAUAGUUACUCAAGGACUGAAACUGCCUUAGGUGUUAAUUACAGAUAAUGAAAAACAUUAGGUAGAAGUGAAGGAAAGUGACUGACUAAGUAUUGAUUACAAAAACAAGUUUUUCUAAGUGGGAUGUUUGUUUUUAGUGUUAUCAUGAAAUCAAGCAUAGUCUUAUGUCUGAGCAUCACAUGUAAUUUCUGGAAAACCUUGUGUAACAGCAGAUAACUCAUGUAACAAGGCUCUAUAUCACUAGAUGCCAUUUUCCUUCCUUUUUAAUGAAACUACAUGGGCUUUAGGAUCCUUACAAAGAGGAACAGUUUCAGACUGAGUUGAGAAUUGUGCUGCUUGCUUUUUCACAAAUACUUGAGUCAUGUUCUUCCUGAGCAUAAAUGUUGACAGUGCAGCAAGAACAAACAGUAAAUCAAUUCAGUGGCAACAGCCACUAGGUGCUCUGCUUUCAUCCUUCCUUCUCAACAACUACUCUUACUCAGUGGCUUCGUUUUAUUUCAUUACAUCUCUAUAAAGCAAUGAAGGGAGUGCAGAGAAAGCAUCAUUCCAUGAGUUGCUGUCAAACUGAGCCAAGCCCCAGCAGUAUGUAAGCACCUGUUGUUGGGAGACCUUUUAUGAAUUAUACCCAAAAGUCAGACUGCAGCUGAACUGAAAGUGAGGUUCUCCUUUGAAAAGGCUGUAAAAGCAACUGGUCAGUUUGGGUGAAAGGGUAUACAUCAGUGGAACAGACAAAUCAUACUUCAGGAAUACAUACUGCUUUAUGUGUGGAAGAAGUAGUAGGGAGUAAGCAUAUGUCCCUUUGAUCAUCACAGAACUGGCUUUCAGUUAUACAGCCUACAUUUUCAAAUUGUGGACCUUGAAAGACCAAUCUAUAGAACAGAAUAGUAUAUUACCAGUGAUAAAAAGGGAAAAAAAGCAAACAUACACAGUUGCAUAGUGAAGAGAUUAAAGGAAAACAGAAGAAAGAAAAUCAUGCUGCGUACUUGAGCUUACCUUACCUUGUCUGAGUGUGAAAACAUCCAUAUUAAUCAAUCUCGGGAGAUGCAGACAGAGCACAAGAGAAGCUUUGUUGCUGUGUUGGGUAUCAGGAAGGCCUUGAGACCACCCUCGAGGGGAGAAGUUGAUCAUCUUGCAUUAAGUUGUGAUGCUUUGUUGCUUUGUCUAGCACAGGUGGCAGCUCCUCUCCUGUUUGCAUGGGGAAGCACAGUGCAAACUGUGGUUGUGCCACAGCAGUUGUGGGUGGCAGUGGGAGCAGACGUAGCUGGCAGGAAGUGACAGCAAGGAACACAAAGGAAAAAAACCUUGGGAUUUGGAAGCAAAAGGUGUGAACGGGAAGUGGGAUACUAUAGUGGUGCCUCUGAGGAGGCAGGAGCUGAUCCAGGCCUUGUUGGCUAAGUGCAUUGGAAGGGCAACUUGAGGAGGCGGCCAAGGAAAGGAAAGGGAGGCAGAGAGAAUGUGAGAAUGUUGUGUGACUGGAAAGCAAACCACAAAGGGCAAGUUUCUACUUCAUCAAAGCUGUGUCUGUUUCUUAGCUUGAUCUGCAUCAUGAUAUUCACUUGCGAGUGAUAUGCAGCAUUUUUGGUAGAAAAGAGUGGCUCAGCUGUUACUUUAAGAGCAAAACAGGGCUCACUGUAGCUAUGAGGCUGCACUGAGCUCUUCCACAACAGGUGGAAAGGGACAAAAAGGGUUAUUUAAAGGCCGCUUGCCCUGGUUGCAGUGGCAGGUGUGCUGGCAGACGCUGGGGCUCAGUGACCUUCUAGGGCUGUGCUCCCACUCCAACGGAGUGGGCUGGAUGUGACUGACAGGGCCUCUGUGCCCUCGGAACGUAACGUCUGAACUGCUGUGAGUCAUAUUCCAGCUAGAGGUGGCAGUGCAGAGGCAGCGGCCGCCAUGUCCGAGGGCCACCCCUCAGGCAGUACAGGAGAUGCCGAUGCCGGGCCAGCAGGGCCACCUCAGGCAGUGAGGCUGCUCGGGGCGGCUGCGUCUUAGGAUCGUCGGUCCCAAACACUCACGCAGACAUAUUUCCCCUCCGGGACUUCUGCCGGCCCCUCGUGACGACGUGAUCACCCCGCCACAGACGGCGUCUCCACACGGGCCAGCGGCGGCGCUAAGGAGACGCCCGCGCUUCGAGCGCGGCUCUCACGGUGAAGGUGCGCGGCCACGUGCGCUGGGUGACGGCAACGGCGGCGCGCACGCAUGCGCAUAUCGCCCUCAGCCGCUCCUCACAUGCACACCUGCGCGCGCCGCCGCCCAUCUCAUCCCCCCCGCAUCGCCUCCCUCCUUCCUUCUCUUCUCCCGCCUCUCGCGCCGUCCUCUG